Tupaia belangeri chinensis (Chinese tree shrew) is the source of this 1008-nucleotide long non-coding RNA. RefSeq lists it as uncharacterized. NCBI's taxonomy places the organism in Eukaryota, Metazoa, Chordata, Mammalia, Scandentia, Tupaiidae. The transcript has 5 exons. The record is from RefSeq and is a predicted model, not a curated record.
ACGGAUGGGUAAACUGAGGCCGGAGGCUGGGGCUCAGUUCAGAUCCCGCCGCCGAGGUCGCGCGGGGCCCCGGAGGCCGGGUGACGCGGGGCGCAGCCUGGGCCAGCCCCCGCCCUGCCCCUGGCGGGCUGAACGGUGACCUCGGGCGAGUGAAUUCGCGCCUCCACCCCUGGCCGGCUCUGACUCGGCCGCGCUGAGCCCGGGGCGUCGGUGUAGGGGAGCCCAGCAAAUACGACAGCCACCUGCACGCCUUCAGCUUGUGCUGGGUUUUUCUGGACAAUGCCUUGGACUUGCAGAGAAAAGCCCUGGGAUCGAAUCUGACCACAGCUGCCUACCCAGUGACCUUAAUCUUCACAGCCGCUCUUUCAGCUAUUCUCUCAGUUUUACACCCAAGGCAUUGUGACUCCGAGAGGUUAAAUACUUCUCCCAAGGGAUACUGCUGAGCCGUGGAACCAAGGCCACUGAUUGAAACUGCAUGCUCUUUCCAGGAAAGUAUGUUCCCUCCAGCCAGUGGAGUCACUCUAUCAGCGGAGGCCGACCAGGAUGUCCAUCCACUUUGUGUCCAAUGAUGGGAUGCUGUUCUUGAUGGCUGCGUGGUCUCCCAUCGUGUAUGUACCAUGUCUUCCCAAUCCACUCCUCGGUUGUUGGACACUUCGGUUGCUUCCCUGACUUAGCUAUUGUGUAUCAUGCUGCAGUGAACACAGAGGUACUGUCUCUCCAGCUGAGUGAGUUCCUGUCUUUUGGUGUGAUCUCAUUUGUAAUGCUCUUGAAGAUGGCUCUUAAAGGCCCAGCUGCAGUGCUGCUCAAGUAGUGCCACUGCUGGGGAGACUGCAAGUCCCGCGGGAGACCCAGGUUUGGUUCCCAGGCCGACCUGAACACGCCGGGAGUCGUUGUGCACACCUGUAAUUCUGGCUAAUUGGGAGGCUGGGCCAGAGGAUCCUGACAGGGUGCGACUCUGUAACAAAUACCUGUCUCUGUCCCUCUCCCUUUCCCUCAUCUCUCUUUCUU